GCAGAUUUGUAAAGGAAAAAAACACAACCACACACGCACGGUCUCGCGCUCGCCUCCCUCUCGCCCAGGAAGUCCUCGCCGCCGCCGCUGCCCACGCAGGCCGCUUCCGGCGAGCUCCGGCGCCGUGCAGCGCGUACCCGAGCUCCCCACGCUCCGCGCCUCCCUCCCCUCCAGCCAGAUUCUCCGCUCCCGGCCUCUAUCAUCCGUUCGCAACCCCACCCCAUGGCUAGGGUUUCGGGCAAGGCUUCGCCGACGCGUCUCCAUCCUCGCUCGCUGCCUUCUCCCACCACACCGGCCUCCCUUCCCUAGCAACCCUCCCGCCGUGGAGCACCCUCACACUGGACACUCCUUUCUCUCCCCCUCCCAUCGUCGAACUGGAGCAGCAGCCGCUCCUCCUCCACCUCCCCAAUUUGGGACAGCAACACCACGAGCUAACACCCCGGCGACGAUCUCCUGCUGGUGUGGGUCGGCGUGGGCUUGCCCGAUCUGGGGCAGAUGCGCCGGUUCUGGCGUGGAGAGAUGAGGAGGAAGGUGGGACGGGAGGCCAAGGCAAUGAAGAAACCACGUCGAGCUGCCAUGGCCAUGACCAGAUCCACGACGAGGUUAAAUGGGGUCGGCUGCUCCCUACAGGAUGACGAAGGUCUCCAAGGGCGGGCCUUCUCUUCUCCUCGAAAUCGAUGUGCCUGUGGCAUGCUUGCUUUUCAUGUAAUGACUUGGCGAAAUACAAGAGCAUCUCAUCUUGAUUUGGUGUUCUGUUAAAGGAGCAAUGAGCUAGGGGAUUUUUCAGGGGAUGGGUGCCUACCUUGCUUGGUUACAGUGCUCAGGGGGCUUGCAAGUUUGGGUUCUACGAGUUCUUUAAGAAGACCUACUCAGAUAUGGCUGGGCCUGAGAAUGCCAUGAAGUACAAGAUCCUAAUUUACCUUGCAGGACCAGCUUCUGCUGAGGUAAUUGCUGAUAUCGCUCUGUGCCCCUGUGAAGCUGUCAAGGUCUGUGUGCAGACACAGCCUGGAUUUGCUCGUGGGUUGAGUGAUGGGCUUCCCAAGUUCAUCAAAGCUAAGGGUGCUGCUGGGUAAGUAAAUCACCAGCCGUCUUAACAACUUCAUGAUUUGCUUUACUUACCCUAAUCCUAUGCGCUCUAAUUUAUUGGUUAAUAAUGUCAGGCUUUACAAGGGACUUGUUCCUCUUUGGGGUUGCCUGAUUCCUUAUAAGUGCUUUCUCUCAUCAUUCUGUUAUAGUCUUUUAAUUUGAAUUCUCACUACUAUGAUUGUUUCACAAAUGUGGCCUGCUUUGGAACCAAAUGCUCUAAAUCUGGUCUCCUGUUUCAUCUAAUCGGCCCUGUUUGUUUUUCUUUGAUGCCAAUUGGUGAUGUUUUGUUACCUUUUCUUCUGCUAUAUGAGCAAACACCUAUCCUAUUGAUGACCAACCAUGCUGAUACUAUUCUAUAUUCAUUUUACCAUUUCUAUUUGUUGCCUAGCUUAUGGGCAUUAUUCAUCGACUCCUUAGAGUCGUUCACUCCACAGUUUCGAUGGAAGUUUUUAGCUGAAACUCCAAAAUUCAUUGUCCUUGCAAAAAAUAAAAAUGUUAACCAGACAUGAGAUUACUGUAUGUCUAUCCAUCCACACUUGCGCUGUAGCAGAAGAGAUCAACUUAUCAUAUAUGACCCACACAAUAAUAAAGAAUAAGAAAAAGGAUUAGAUAUUUUUAUAUAGUGUAAAUAAUAAAGAAGCGUGACCCGAGACUGUUGAAUAUGUGAUCUCCAAAGUAGGAAUAUGAGGGAAGAUAGCUUUUUGUUGCUAAACGAUGGACGUCCUCGGCGAAGAAAGCCAUGUUCGUGACCCUCUAAAGAAGAAAGAGCACAAGCCAUAAGAAACAAAUGCACUUUCAUAUACAUAGUAGAACUCGAACCCACGUGAAAACCAUCUAAAGAUAUUGACAACAGAAAUCCUCAGUCACUUCCUUGAACACUUAAAUUACAGGACAAGUUUACAUAGACUAUUUUGUAAAUUGAAAUUACUGAAUAUGAGCACACGAGCAAACAACCACACAGUAACAACCUAAUGGGCAGUGAUUAUUCCAUGAGUGUCAUCCCUAGAAUGUUCAAAUUCACUGAAAUAAGCCAAUUCAGCCCUUCUUAACAGUCUAGCUGAACAUCUCUCACAGAUUUUGCCACUGAUCCAUGAGAAAAGGACAACAUCCUUCUUUCUACCCUCGCCUAUGAUGGCCGUGGUGUCCAGUUCACAAUGUGUCGAAACAUGGUCAAUUCCAUGACAAUGAGCACGCCACCCCACGUGCACACAUGUCACUGCAUCCGCACAAGGGAAUAUUUAAAACUUUAAAAACUAAUUUCUCAAGUUGGACAUGAACGCCCUCUGCGAGCUACUCCCUGCACCUGUCUAUACACCUUCCCUCAUAUUCCUACUUUUUUUUGCACAAAGCACGUCGCUAUGUAGCCUAUUGCCAUGAAUUUGGUCAGAGUUGAGGAACUGGGUCACGACACAUCAAGGGAGAUGAAAAUCUCAUCAAGGACAGAGUGAGAGGGGAGGAUAUAGAUGCCAGGCGGGACAUGGCGAGAUGUGAUGCCGAUGUCUAAGGGCACCAGUGGGUCGAGCGAGACGGGCUUCUGCCCAGCGACGCCAAGAAAGAAGCGUCAAUGGCAGGCGCUGACCAGUCUACGCAUAUUAUGGGCUUACAGUCCAAUUUUGAGUUUUUCAUAUCAACAUGAUUGUUUUACGGUCAAUUUUCUAAAUAUUGUUAGUGACUAGCUAUUUCCUAAUUUUGUUUAUUUAGGUUAGAGAGAAUAUGUAAGGCUAAUGUUUGAGCAGAAGGAGAGUGAAAAGAUGCAAGAGUGAUACACCCAAGCACUUGAUUUGAGUCAAACAUGGUUUGUUGUACAGGAUUCCUCCGUAUUUGUCUGCACAAAUAGUGCUUGAUAUUUACUGAUGAUAGUUUUUCUCCAUAGUUCAGUGUCUACAUCUUUAUUUUCCUAAUAUAGUCAUAUUGCCCAUAUAAGUGCAUCUUUUAUUUUGAGUUCUUCCUGGGUGCCACUCUGAAAGCGAAUUCUUCCUAGGUGUAUCAUGCACAUGUAUCUUGCCGUUCUAUAUUCUCAAGUCUCAACUGCAGAUUCUCAAAGGUUUCGGACACCACUUUGACCUGCGACAAAUAUUUGGACUAUUUAUUUAGUGACACUGAUCAUAGCUGUCCGCAGGAUUUAUUCACUCACCAACUCUGGCUUUUGGUGUACACGGUACACCGUGAGGCAAGUAGGUUGACAUUUUCAUCUGUUAUCAUGAGUGUCGUGUUUACUCUUGCAGUUCAGUUAUUAAGCUUAUGCUUAAGCUGAUUGUACUGUCUAGAGGUGGAAUGGCUAAGCUCUCUUUAUAAUCCUUUUACUGAAUAUCUUGCAAAGGGCACACUAAAGGGGAUGAAAGUAUUAGGUGUGGGGGUAUCAGUCCACUAUGUUCUUAUGUCUAUGGAUCCGCGAAAUGUUGACGCUUUAUUGGUUUUGAUCACAAAAAUGUUUGGUCUACAUGCUUUCAUCUUGAAUAUAUGUAGCUCUAAAGUAAUACUACUUCCCAGUUAGUUCAUUGAAGUAAUGAUACAAUCAAUUGGAUGUUUUUCUACUGUUAUGGAUCUAGCAGGAAAAAAGUUGUUUUGAUGUCAUUGUUUUUCACCAUAGUUCAUUGUCAACAUCUUUAUUCUCCUAAUACAGUCAUAUUAUCCAUAUAAGUGCAACUUUUAGUUCGUAAAAGUACUUUGUACUUAGCCCAAUUGAUUUCACUAGAUCCCCUGUUUAUACAGUAUGUAUGAGACACCUUGCAAUUAUUUCACUAGAUCGAUUGAUGAUAGCUUGCUGUUGCAGAUGAAACCGAAGAAACUGUAUCUAUCCUGGGCCAGUUGCCAACCAAGCCAACAUUGUCUCAGUUACCGGUUCAAAGAUGUCUCAAACCAUGCACAAACAUUUCAGUUGAUACAUACGCCAUAAGUUUGGUCGUCUGCUCUUUUAAAUGCCCAGAAGCAUAACUCUCGAGAUCAUUGCAGAGAUCAUUGCUCACUGAACAUAAGACCAGAUGUUCCAAUUUAUUUUAUUGCUCAAAGAAGAAUUGGUGUUCUGUUGUGUUAUCCUGUGACACUAUAAGUUGAUGAUUAAGUUGGGAAUGUCGUUGCGUAUACAGGCAAGCCGAUGGGCUCUUAUGCUGAAGAGCAGAUUAUUCGAGCCAAUGUUGGUUCCCAUCACGCCUUUGAUUGAUCACACAGUGGCUGCUAUCAUGCUCAAGGGGAUGACUGCCCAUAUGCUGGUUCGCCACAUAUUUAAGGCUUCAUUAGAGUGAUUGGCGUCCUGCGUUUUCCUGCUGUCGUUCGGCAGUCCU
RNAcentral lists this ribosomal RNA (4367 nucleotides) under Triticum aestivum (bread wheat). Its description in RNAcentral is "partial small subunit ribosomal RNA". Lineage: Eukaryota; Viridiplantae; Streptophyta; Magnoliopsida; Poales; Poaceae. The record is from RNAcentral.